This 234-nucleotide ribosomal RNA is filed under the name uncultured bacterium. RNAcentral describes it as "partial 16S ribosomal RNA". It matches the Rfam family "Bacterial small subunit ribosomal RNA", at positions 99 to 334 of the family's 1533-position model. The record is from RNAcentral.
CGCACGGGUGAGUAACACGUAUCCAACCUGCCGUCUACUCUUGGACAGCCUUCUGAAAGGAAGAUUAAUACAAGAUGGCAUCAUGAGUUCACAUGUUCACAUGAUUAAAGGUAUUCCGGUAGACGAUGGGGAUGCGUUCCAUUAGAUAGUAGGCGGGUAACGGCCCACCUAGUCUUCGAUGGAUAGGGGUUCUGAGAGGAAGGUCCCCCACAUUGGAACUGAGACACGGUCCAA